This 506-nucleotide ribosomal RNA is filed under the name uncultured bacterium. Its description in RNAcentral is "partial 16S ribosomal RNA". It matches the Rfam family "Bacterial small subunit ribosomal RNA", at positions 29 to 523 of the family's 1533-position model. The record is from RNAcentral.
AUUGAACGCUGGCGGCAGGCCUAACACAUGCAAGUCGGACGGUAGCACAGAGGAGCUUGCUCCUUGGGUGACGAGUGGCGGACGGGUGAGUAAUGUCUGGGGAUCUGCCCGAUAGAGGGGGAUAACCACUGGAAACGGUGGCUAAUACCGCAUAACGUCGCAAGACCAAAGAGGGGGACCUUCGGGCCUCUCACUAUCGGAUGAACCCAGAUGGGAUUAGCUAGUAGGCGGGGUAAUGGCCCACCUAGGCGACGAUCCCUAGCUGGUCUGAGAGGAUGGCCAGCCACACUGGAACUGAGACACGCGCCAGACUCCUACGGGAGGCAGCAGUGGGGAAUAUUGCACAAUGGGCGCAAGCCUGAUGCAGCCAUGCCGCGUGUAUGAAGAAGGCCUUCGGGUUGUAGAGUACUUUCAGCGGGGAGGAAGGCGGUGAGGUUAAUAACCUCGCCGAUUGACGUUACCCGCAGAAGAAGCACCGGCUAACUUCGUGCCAGCCGCCGCAGUAA